Long non-coding RNA from Salvelinus sp. IW2-2015, 200 nucleotides. RefSeq lists it as uncharacterized. The record is from RefSeq and is a predicted model, not a curated record. Lineage: Eukaryota; Metazoa; Chordata; Actinopteri; Salmoniformes; Salmonidae.
CCUCUACGGCUUGUUCCAGCUGAGCGAUCGUGUGAUUUGUUCCUCGGGCUCCACUCCAUCGCUGAACCUUUGCCAGAUGAACUGCAGUGCUUUGAUUGACGACGACAUAAGUGAUGACUUAAACUGUGUGGAGACGAUCAGACAGACAAUGCAAAGUGGUCGCGUUCAAACAAUGGCUCUAAAGAGAAUGUAAGUAUGCA